GAGUCCUAAAGAAAAAAAAAAAAAGCAGAAAGGGUUGAAUGAGCGAGGUUUUACCGGAGCGGACACUUCGGCUGCAACCGCUCCGAGUUGAAUUAAACACAACACCGCACUGAACUAAACUGCAUGAAUUAGGAUUUAGAGGUUUUUUUUAAAAAGUGCAUUUUAACGCAGAUUUACGCAUUACGCAUCCAAACUUUUACGCACGGGAAAUGUUUGCGAUAAAUAUGUCUCAAUAUUUUAACUUGCACGUAUCAUGAGAAAAACAAGAGAUUAUAAGUCAUCUUCAGCAAAAAUUAACAAGACAUCUUAUGAAUGCUGAGUUUAAUAUGUCAGCAUGACGCUUACUUGUUAUCUGUUUGUGGUUAUAAGCCGGUGUGCAUACUUAAUAUCUCAGUAAUGCCUCCUAAUCUCACCGCUGAUUAUUGCUCUCGUCUUUUUUAGCAAAUUAAACGGCGCGCAGCACCCCUCUAAGCCCAGAAUGAACUUUUCCAAGGGGAAAAAAAGCUUUUGUGGAGAAAGUAAUUUUGUACGUUUCUUUCGUCCAAUCCCCUCUCUUGAUAGAAACCCGUACCUUACCUCAGAGUAGUCAAUUAUCAAAGCUCCCCAAGAUCAUCAAUCAUGUGAGGAGAUUGAAGUUUAGAGGAGGAGCAACGCUCCGGCCAUCGAUUGCAGUGAAGCCCUUUUUGGAGCCUGAGCAUUUUUACGCACAAAAACAGAAGCAAGGCCAUCUAUCCCCUUUAAUAUUUAGCUCCAUCAGUGCUAAUAUGGCAUCAUAGCUGUAUUGAUAGGUGCUCACAUAAAGGCUCCCUUUACAGCUCCGUGACAUUUUUGAUGGUGGAAAUUAAUUAUUCACAGGUUAGGAUUAAGGUAGACACGCUCAGGGAGAUGGGCUGUGGCUACCGUUGGAGGGUCAAUAAACUCUCCCAACAAACAAAAUACUAAGCAGAGUUGCUAAGAGGGUCGAUUACAGAAACAGCAGAGAGGGUUUUAUUAUUGUUUUUUUUAAGGGGGAAAAAUAGAUUUAAUAAAUGAAACCGUGACAACAGUUAUGUUUGUUGGCAUAAAGGGGGGUGGGAAGUGUAGGACUGCAGGGUUUGACAAACGGCUGUGUGGACAUUUCAACGUGCAAUACCCCGGGAAGGAGCUGCAGAGCGGUGCGCAGAGAGCCAAGGCAUUCACCGUCUCCAAGUCUCUCUUACACUCUGUAAACACAACCAGCCCGGCAGACUCUGCUAUUGAAGACUGAUAUUUUCAUAAGCUAAAUACUGUCGUUCCCAUUGAUUUGUGCACUAACGCUUGACUUUUUUUUUUCAUCCUCCUCCUUUUGGACAACCAUGCAUGGGACAGUCCCAGCAGAAAAACCACCACAGAGCAUUUUAAAAACACCACAACACAACACUCUGCUACUCACGACUCCCCCCAUCCCAUGUUUGAAAUACUCUCAGGAAACAAUGCAGGAGUUCACAUGAUCAAGCAAGGUACCCAGGUAAUUACCUUGCAUUGUCAAAUAAAGCGACCACUGAUUCAAAUGAGGAGUGAAAUAUCAAAGACCAGCAUUGCCUUUGCAGCCACUACUUAUCCACACAGGAGACAGAGAGGAGAUCUGAGAGCUCGGGGACCUGCAGGGAGGCAACAACAACACUCAGCCUUCCUUUCCUAGAUAAAUAUCACCAAUGGGAGCAACAGAGCCAAACAUGCCCAAGUUCACUAGUAACAACAUAUUUAUUUGUAUUACAUAUCCUACUUAUCCAUUAUUAGCUUGUGCAUCCUUUAAAGUGGCCACAGUGCAGCUUUAACAAGAAGGAUUUUUUGCUAGAUUCCUGGACCCUCCUGAUGUGCUUCCUGCUGAGUCUCUCUCAAAGGUCAAAGGUUGGAAAUUUAUGAAUGUGACUGCAGCCUGGAGGAGUCGCAGGCAGCGUUUCGAAUCUUCUCCUGCAGCGUUUAUUCUAUAUUCGUAGAUGAAACACAAAGAGAGGAAUAGAGAGAGGCUAGGAUUAGAAUUGAGUAGCGCAUUAUUGUUUGGCAGCACAAGUCUUUAGCCAAAUUAGCUGCACAAACCACACGAUCAUUUAUAACGUGCGGCGUUUGCAUUUGAUUUUCCACUUGCUUAAAGUGCAGUCUCGAAUAAACUUUUGAAAUCAGAACGCGUUCUUUUCCUCCUACUUCACUUGCACUACUCAGCUUCUCUGACAUAAUUUAAUACACUGUGUAAUUUCUUCUUCUCCUGCGUAAUGACACCUUGAUUCGAGCGGCACUGACAACAAGACCUUUGACACCUUGACACAGUAAGUGGAUGGUGAUCUCAGUGAACAAUGUCACUGCUCUGGAAACAACACCCAAAAGAAGAAAAAAAAAAAACUCAUUUCUGAUCCCUUCACGUUCGAACUAGACAAGCGGCGUCCUGGGACUUCAGUUCAGCACAGAAAGACUACCUGUAAUUUGACUUGCCACGUCUAAAUGGAAGUUGAAUAGGUUACAUUGUGCAACAACAAAUAAAAUGCUUGUGAUGCUUUA
This is a long non-coding RNA of Amphiprion ocellaris (clown anemonefish), 2514 nucleotides long. RefSeq lists it as uncharacterized. The record is from RefSeq and is a predicted model, not a curated record. NCBI's taxonomy places the organism in Eukaryota, Metazoa, Chordata, Actinopteri, Pomacentridae. The transcript is spliced from 3 exons.